GACGAACGCUGGCGGCGUGCUUAACACAUGCAAGUCGAACGGAAAGGCCCUGCUUUUGUGGGGUGCUCGAGUGGCGAACGGGUGAGUAACACGUGAGUAACCUGCCCUUGACUUUGGGAUAACUUCAGGAAACUGGGGCUAAUACCGGAUAGGAGCUCCUGCUGCAUGGUGGGGGUUGGAAAGUUUCGGCGGUUGGGGAUGGACUCGCGGCUUAUCAGCUUGUUGGUGGGGUAGUGGCUUACCAAGGCUUUGACGGGUAGCCGGCCUGAGAGGGUGACCGGCCACAUUGGGACUGAGAUACGGCCCAGACUCCUACGGGAGGCAGCAGGGGGGAAUAUUGCACAAUGGGCGGAAGCCUGAUGCAGAAACGCCGCGUGCGGGAGGACGGCCUUCGGGUGGUAAACCGCUUUCGCCUGUGACGAAGCGUGGGUGACGGUAAUGGGUAAAGAAGCACCGGCUAACUACGU
This 467-nucleotide ribosomal RNA is filed under the name uncultured bacterium. RNAcentral describes it as "partial 16S ribosomal RNA". It matches the Rfam family "Bacterial small subunit ribosomal RNA", at positions 28 to 506 of the family's 1533-position model. The record is from RNAcentral.